UGGCAAUUUUAUUUUAUAAAA
RNAcentral lists this non-coding RNA (21 nucleotides) under Caenorhabditis elegans. The record is from RNAcentral. Lineage: Eukaryota; Metazoa; Nematoda; Chromadorea; Rhabditida; Rhabditidae.